RNAcentral lists this ribosomal RNA (468 nucleotides) under uncultured bacterium. Its description in RNAcentral is "partial 16S ribosomal RNA". It matches the Rfam family "Bacterial small subunit ribosomal RNA", at positions 28 to 507 of the family's 1533-position model. The record is from RNAcentral.
GACGAACGCUGGCGGCGUGCUUAACACAUGCAAGUCGAACGGAAAGGCCCUGCUUUUGUGGGGUGCUCGAGUGGCGAACGGGUGAGUAACACGUGAGUAACCUGCCCUUGACUUUGGGAUAACUUCAGGAAACUGGGGCUAAUACCGGAUAGGAGCUCCUGCUGCAUGGUGGGGGUUGGAAAGUUUCGGCGGUUGGGGAUGGACUCGCGGCUUAUCAGCUUGUUGGUGGGGUAGUGGCUUACCAAGGCUUUGACGGGUAGCCGGCCUGGGAGGGUGACCGGCCACAUUGGGACUGAGAUACGGCCCAGAGUCCUACGGGAGGCAGCAGUGGGGAAUAUUGCACAAUGGGCGGAAGCCGGAGGCAGCAACGCCGCGUGCGGGAUGACGGCCUUCGGGUUGUAAACCGCUUUCGCCGGUGACGAAGCGUGAGUGACGGUAAUGGGUAAAGAAGCACCGGCUAACUACGUG